CCUACGGGAGGCAGCAGUGGGGAAUAUUGGACAAUGGGGGGAACCCUGAUCCAGCCAUGCCGCGUGUGUGAAGAAGGCCCUCGGGUUGUAAAGCACUUUCAGUGAGGAAGAACGCCUGGUGGUUAAUACCCAUCAGGAAAGACAUCACUCACAGAAGAAGCACCGGCUAACUCCGUGCCAGCAGCCGCGGUAAUACGGAGGGUGCGAGCGUUAAUCGGAAUUACUGGGCGUAAAGCGCGCGUAGGUGGCUUGAUAAGCCGGUUGUGAAAGCCCCGGGCUCAACCUGGGAACGGCAUCCGGAACUGUCAAGCUAGAGUGCAGGAGAGGAAGGUAGAAUUCCCGGUGUAGCGGUGCAAUGCGUAGAGAUCGGGAGGAAUACCAGUGGCGAAGGCGGCCUUCUGGACUGACACUGACACUGAGGUGCGAAAGCGUGGGUAGCAAACAGGAUUAGAUACCCUUGUAGUC
RNAcentral lists this ribosomal RNA (465 nucleotides) under Vreelandella stevensii. Its description in RNAcentral is "partial 16S ribosomal RNA". It matches the Rfam family "Bacterial small subunit ribosomal RNA", at positions 338 to 795 of the family's 1533-position model. Lineage: Bacteria; Pseudomonadati; Pseudomonadota; Gammaproteobacteria; Oceanospirillales; Halomonadaceae. The record is from RNAcentral.